UCACACGAGUAGAAGUGUCAGUCCUAAAAACGAGAAUACAACCAAAUGAUGAAGCUCAACAGGAAGUGCAGACUCGGUCUAUUCCUGAUCCAAGGGAGGUUGCAGGAUGUCUGUUGCAUAUGUUGCUCCAACAAAGUCGUCCUAUGCUAUGUCUCAUCCUUUGGCAUAUCAUCAUGAGGAUGUGAAUUCCACAGGAAGGCCCAUGUGAUCCUAUUGCUCCCUUAGAUCUUCCACAUUUUUUACAGUCUUUCCACCGUGUAUCAGCUUGUGACUCAAUAUGGAAGGAUACCAGUAUACCACACAUUCUGUGGAGGAUUCUGGAAUUAUUUUAGCUUGGAUUUGCAAAAGAUCAAGUUGAGGAAGUGCCUAGCAUCAGAGUCGAUGGAAGGUGAAUAAAAAUUUAGCCAUUGAGAGGAUCCAGAUAUUUCAAUACUUGACAGUGAAUAGAGAGCAGUAAACAAGAUUUAAUGGGCACUCCUUUGAUGUACCCUUUAUCAUCUUUUGAGUUCUGACAGUGUAGAGUAGAGAUGCCUGGUGAUUGCCUCUUUGUAGAUACUCUUCCUAUUGCAUGUGUAUAAACUUCAGAGAGACUAGAUUUGGGUUUAGUCAUUUCAUGUAUUUAGUUCAUUUAUUAAGUUUCAUGAUUUAGUUUAGUUUUGUAUUGGUUGUUUCCAAAGAAUUUGUAAG
Zea mays is the source of this 687-nucleotide long non-coding RNA. RefSeq lists it as uncharacterized. The record is from RefSeq and is a predicted model, not a curated record. NCBI's taxonomy places the organism in Eukaryota, Viridiplantae, Streptophyta, Magnoliopsida, Poales, Poaceae. The transcript has 5 exons.